Long non-coding RNA from Equus asinus (donkey), 1747 nucleotides. The record is from Ensembl. NCBI's taxonomy places the organism in Eukaryota, Metazoa, Chordata, Mammalia, Perissodactyla, Equidae.
UUCUCAGCUCAAGUGCAAUUAACAGUAAAAUGAAAUGUGGCUCACUAUGCUUUCCUCAGACUUAUGUUAAAUGACCUUAUUUUAAAGAAAAACGAGGCAGAAAUCCUUCCCCAGUAGCUUUUCUUGGGAAGAGCUCUACUCCUCGGGCUAUUUCUGUAUGCCCUUUCAGCAACAAGAUUUUCAGUCUCAGCAUAUGUGAAUUUCCAGUUUCUUCUUUAUUGGGAAUAACUAGAAAAAGCAUGAAAUGGAGUUCAGAAAUAGUAAAGAGAGAUGAUAUUAAAUAAGAGCAGUAGGAAUUCUGCCAAGAAGCCUUGAGAGGAAUGACAGGAGCGGAGGGAAAGGCUCUUGCACGUGGAACAGCUCCUGCGUGGCGAGGAGGAGGCGCUCAGAGGAGCUCCCAGCGAGGCGUGGCCUGGCUGCCGUUUCAGUCAUCGAAAUCAGACUGCAGCGAAAGUGGGCUUCUUUACUUUUUAAUGAAAAAUUUCAAAAACACAAAAUAGAGUAAGUAUUUGUCAUAAUGAACAAAUAUAAUGAACCUCCAGGCACCCAUCACCCCAGACUCAACAGUCAUCAACUCAUGGCCAAAUUUGCAUCUUCUAUAAACCUACUAAUCCCCACCCCUACCCAGAUGAUUUGGAAGCAAAUCCCAGAUUUUACAUUAUUUCACCCACAAACCUUUCAUUAUAUAUGUAUAUAUCUAUAUCCAUGUAUAUGUACCCAUUAUCAUACCUUUGAAUAUUUUAUGUUAAGAAAUUAUUGUUAAUUUUCAACCAGAGUUCAAAUUUUCCAAUUAUCUCAUAAUUUUUUCUUUGUUUGUUUGAAUCGGGAUCCAUAUAAGGUCCAUAUGUUGCAAUUGGUAGAUGUUUCCCUUAAAAUCUUUCAGUCCAUGUUUCAGUGAAGAUCCGGGCAUGGGGAGAAAUGCUUCUUCACAGGUGCCUACUUCUCCAUGAAUAGUCUGCAACAAAACCAAAUAAAUGUAUCAUGGUCCUGUAGAAACUAUAGGGUAAGGAACUUCUUCAACACUUCUAACAACUGAAUGAAAAUAACAGUGAGUAUAGAUUUCAUAUAUUGUGGAUUCAGAAGUGUCAAAAUGUAACUUCAUUUUAUUAAUUUUUAACUUGAGUCCUUAUUCUGUCUUUUUUUUUGAAAACUCAGUCUAGUCUCAGAUAAAUCUAAUCGGGUCCAGUGAGUUUUCAAUUUUAGUCACCUUCGGAACACCCGCCCCCCCUUCUCCCAGGAGCUGAUGCUGUCAAAAGGACCCACUUACCUGCAGUUUUGUGUGGGUGGGGAGGAACUGAGCCCUCCUGUUUCAUUGUUCCCUCUGUUUUCCAUUGCUGCAUACAUAAUGAGCUGCCACAAACUUAGUGGCUUAAAGCUACACUUGCUUAUUAGCUCACCGUUCUGUGUGUCAGAAUUCUUGCGCAGCAUGACUGGGUUCUCUGCUCGGGGAAGGCUGAAAUCAAGGAUCCUUGAACGGCCAUGUGAGAAGAUACCAUGUGGAAAGAGAGAAACCCCAAGACAGUGAAAGAGAGAAAGAGGAGAUGGAGAGAGAGAGGAAGGAGGGGGCAUGGCUGCCCCAGCAUCCCAGCGAAGCCCAGAUUUCAUCCCCUCCAAGGCUUCCUGGAAGUGAACCAUCUUGGACUGCUUCAGCCCAAACAGGCCCGGGAACGACUGCAGGCCCAGCUGACAUCACAAGGAGAAGAACCAUCCCCCUGAGUUCAGUCUGAAUCAUGGGAGAUAAUGAAAU